GCCCCGGUAGACCAACGGCAGAGUCGAUGCUCUCAAAAGGCAUUCAGUGUGAGUUCGAAUCUCACCCGGGGCA
RNAcentral lists this transfer RNA (73 nucleotides) under Nocardioides zhouii. It matches the Rfam family "tRNA". Rfam says of the family: Transfer RNA (tRNA) molecules are approximately 80 nucleotides in length. Their secondary structure includes four short double-helical elements and three loops (D, anti-codon, and T loops). Further hydrogen bonds mediate the characteristic L-shaped molecular structure. tRNAs have two regions of fundamental functional importance: the anti-codon, which is responsible for specific mRNA codon recognition, and the 3' end, to which the tRNAs corresponding amino acid is attached (by aminoacyl-tRNA synthetases). tRNAs cope with the degeneracy of the genetic code in two manners: having more than one tRNA (with a specific anti-codon) for a particular amino acid; and 'wobble' base-pairing, i.e. permitting non-standard base-pairing at the 3rd anti-codon position. Lineage: Bacteria; Bacillati; Actinomycetota; Actinomycetes; Propionibacteriales; Nocardioidaceae. The record is from Rfam by way of RNAcentral.